RNAcentral lists this transfer-messenger RNA (363 nucleotides) under Oscillospiraceae. Its description in RNAcentral is "Dysosmobacter sp900544955 Standard tmRNA". It matches the Rfam family "transfer-messenger RNA". From Rfam's summary of the family: Bacterial tmRNA, also known as 10Sa RNA or SsrA, is named for its dual tRNA and mRNA-like properties. Its role is to liberate the mRNA from a stalled ribosome. RNAcentral also lists the same sequence under 1 other name. The record is from RNAcentral. Lineage: Bacteria; Bacillati; Bacillota; Clostridia; Eubacteriales.
GGGGAUGUACCGGUUUCGACGGGGGUGUGGAGGCGGGAUCAGCGGGCGGCGGCGCCUGACCGCCAUAAAACGGGCAAUUUUAUAAAUUAAAUAACAACAACACUGUUGCUAUUGCUGCCUAAUUAAGGCGGCCGUCCGACCCAGAAGGACCGCGAGCUGGGAAGGGCGUCGUUUAGCGGUAAAUGUGAGCGCAGUAAGCUUUGCCUGCACCACACAUCAUGAAGCUGACCUGACCUGACGGCGUGACGGUUUGCCGUCUGGAAGGGGAACAGGGAGGAAGACUCCCGCAAUAAUCGUCUGCGCCCGGAGAACAUCCCGUUUAAGCGCUUUCGGACGCGGGUUCAACUCCCGCCAUCUCCACCA